This 484-nucleotide ribosomal RNA is filed under the name uncultured bacterium. RNAcentral describes it as "partial 16S ribosomal RNA". It matches the Rfam family "Bacterial small subunit ribosomal RNA", at positions 29 to 523 of the family's 1533-position model. The record is from RNAcentral.
AGUGAACGCUGGCGGCGUGCUUAACACAUGCAAGUCGAACGAGAACGGGUUAUAGCUUGCUAUAAUUGUCAGCUAGGUGGCGCACGGGUGAGUAAUGUAUAGGUAAUAUGCCUCUUACUAAGGGAUAACAAAUGGAAACGUUUGCUAAUACCUUAUACUCCUUAUUAACAGAAGUUAAUAAGGGAAAGAUUUAUUGGUAAGAGAUUAGCCUGUAUUGUAUCAGUUAGUUGGUGGGGUAAUGGCUUACCAAGACUAUGACACGUAACUGGUUUUAGAGGAUGAUCAGUCACACUGGAAAUGAAAAACGGGCCAGACUCCUACGGGAGGCAGCAGUGGGGAAUAUUGCACAAUGGACGAAAGUCUGAUGCAGCAACGCCGCGUGGAGGAUGACACAUUACGGUGCGUAAACUCCUUUUAUAUGAGAAGAUAAUGACGGUAUUAUAUGAAUAAGCACCGGCUAACUCCGUGCCAGCAGCCGCGGUAA